RNAcentral lists this long non-coding RNA (3239 nucleotides) under Medicago truncatula (barrel medic). RNAcentral's name for it is "long non-coding RNA (MTRU_LNC002450)". The record is from RNAcentral. Lineage: Eukaryota; Viridiplantae; Streptophyta; Magnoliopsida; Fabales; Fabaceae.
AAAAUUGUAACAUUUGAAGGUUCAAAUAUUGACAAAAUUGCAUGGCCUAUAACUAGGUUGAGGCAACCUCUAGGAUGUUAUAGGGUAUGGGUUCAAAUUCAAAGUAUGUCUCCUUUCUCUCUCUAUUGAUUAAUAUGAUUUCUGACGUUAGGUAAAGAGACACACAACCUUUGGGUUUGUUUGUCAUUGUCAAUCGAUCAUGGAUGAAGAUGUUCGACAUGCAUUCAUGGUAUUGUUUUCUUUGUGGGAGCGUGAUGUCCUUGCAUUUCCAUUUCAGUGUAGUUAGUUACUGAUCAUGCCUGCAAACACAAGUUAUCCCUACGUGAAACAACCACAUCAGGAAAUUAAAACUAGACUAUAUAGAUAUUAGAGGGGUCAGCAUGACCUAGCGAGACUAAAAUGGUCAAAUCGGUCGCUAACUCAUUUAAAGAACGAUUAAAGAUCAAUGUAGCGAGAUUGAUCGGGUCGUAAUUUUCAAUAUAUAUAUCAGGUGAUCUAUCUAUCAUUCAAUAGUUUAUCUUUUUUACGAUUAUGCAUUUGAUUUUUUAGAAAUAAAAUUAUUUAAUUUUUUUUGGGCGGGCAAACACUUAAUAUUGAGAGGAUUAAAAAUAAAUUAGCUCAAUUUGUAUAAAGCAAACAGAAGAGGUUUUGGGGGCAGCUUCCACUCAAUAUGGUAUAUGCAUACGUCCUUGAGGACAUGUAUUAUCAAAAACAGAUUUGUGUAUAUAUUCUGCUGGAGACACUAAACAUCACUUAAUAAAUUGACUGACCUUUAGUCUUGGGCGGCACUUAUAAGGGACGGAGAAUACACUUACUGCAACUGAUGUGGGUCUGUAGGGGUGGAUAGGUCAUUGUUUCGUUAGUUACUCAAUCCGGUCUUAUUUAUAAAAGAUAUUUAUGUCAAUAAAAAUCAAUUUAUCUGAUCCAAAUUUUGAACCGAAUACAUUUAUUUUUGUUGACUUAAAUGUGUCUUACAAAAAUGCUUAAAAGGCAUCUCAAAUUGCUCAACCAAUCAGGUCGUAACUCGAUAGAUUUAUUAUCUUUUUUGUGUAUAAAGUUUGAUCAACUUUUUUGUGUUAGAAAGAUAGUAAAUUAUUUGAAUGAAUCAAAUCACUUAAAACUACACUGAAAUGGGUCUCAAUUUAUUGAGCAACAUUACACCUAGCUAAUUAGUUUGACAACUGUUUCAUGAGUGGGUUUCAAACUACGAAACAAAAUGGCAACAACCAUAUUUGGUCGAGGAUUGUUUUUUUACUAUAUAUAGUUAUCUUCAAUGUUUUAAUUUCCUAAACACAAAUAAUACACGACAUUUUAAUUACAUUAAUCAUGUAACAUUCAUUUAAAUGACUAAUGAGUAGUUGGUUGGUCACAAUCACAUGGAUAAGGAUUGGAGUUGUGGUUCCCGGUACACACGUGAGGAAGGGACAUAGAUCAUAGACAAGGCACAUCUCAUUCUUAUUGCACGGUAUGGGUUGAGGAGGAGUGAAGUGAAGUGAACAUCGGUUUGUAAAAUAUCUUGUCUGGUUAAUUUGUGGUAAAUGAGGUAGGGAAAAAUUUUAACAUCACGGUUGGCUCACAUUAUGUUGCUGCUAUCACUUAAAUCCAAUAUGAUCCUAUUGCAGAGUGGGAGAGAGAUGAGACAUAAGAGUUUUAAAUAAUAUCACUCUUUUUAAUUUAGUUUUUAAACUAUAAAAGUUGUUUUUAACAUGAUUCUUUCAUACGCACUCCUAUUAAGUUAAAGGAGUUAGGAAGUGAUAUGAGUAGUUCUGGUAGCGGCCUGGUAGUCAAUGAGCACCUAUCCAGUAUCGAAUGAGUUCAAAUAGUUGAGUAGUUAAAGGCGGUGCCUUAAAAUUGAGGAAUUAAAUACAAAUGAAAAAAAAUAUCCUAAUGAAAUAUGAUAUCAAUCUUGAAGAAAGAAAAAAAAAGAGAUAUGGAAAAAUUGGUAAACACUAUGAACAUGAUUGGAUCGAGCCUUGGUAUGGAAACUUACCAAGUGAAAACUUUCAAAUUCAGAAAAAACUCUAUAAUUAAAAAUGGACAAUCCUGGGCCAAAUCAUUCUUACCAAAAACAAACAAAUACAAGUUUAUAAAGUGAAAAUAAAUAAAAACUUUAAUGUAUAUGAAAUUUGUCAAUUUAGUUUCAAUUUAUUCUCUUUCAUCUUAAUCAUACGGACUAAAUGAAUUUAUAUAAUUUAAAGACUACUUAUCAUAUUUACAUAGUUUAGAAACUAAAUUUGAUAGACGGUGAUAGUUUAGAGAAUAAAUUGAUAAUUUAUUCGAGUUUGGAUGACUGAGAAUACAAAAAAGAGUAAAGAAUAAGGAAGCAAGUAAUCAACACAUCGCAUGAGAUUUUAGUAUCAUGUCCUUUGGAAUGAUAUCACAAAGGGGCAAUAUCUAUGAAAAGAAUUUCAAAAAGAAGUCCAAACUAGAUUCAAAUCCAAGUUGACCCGGUGGUAUUUUCACUUUGUGGCAAUAGUUUAGUGUUAUGACUUCGACUGUAGUGGGAGCCAGUUUUUAGAAGUUAAUAGAUAUUAUGAAUAUUGCCGCAUGAUCAUGACCUAGCCAAUGUUCAAAGAGAGAAGAUUUAUACAUCACUCAUACUCUCUUCUAUGCCCUUGUUCAAAGAUUUUAUUAUUCGUUACAUCAAUUGUGUAAUAAGGUAAACAUGCUUAGAUGUAUUUCUAUAUUACCAUAUGCUAUAAUUUGUAUUUAUGAUUUUGGACAUCUCUGUUAAAAUUCCAACACAUCAUAGGGAAACAUAUCUCAUUAUCGAGAUUCAAAUCUUAACUUAUCAUAUUGUAAGAGUCUAACAUUUUCUGCCGGAACAAGGAAAGAUAACACAAAGAAAGAACUUUUUCAAAAAACACAAAUAAAUAGCAUGGGAGGUCCGUAUAAUUUAUUGUAGUCUCGUAGAGCAUGUUGCAUGAGUUUCCAAGUUGGAAUCAGACAAAUGACCUACCCUAUAUUGUCUAUAAUGGAGGGCAACUUUAUCAACAAUGAAGGAUGUUCUUUUAUAUGCCAUCUAGAUUGUUCAAUCUCUAAAAUAGACUGAUCGAAAGAUAGUUUUUGAUGGAAAAAAAAUCGAUUGAAACAUAUAUCUCAAUAUAUUUUUGCUUUAAGAAGUUACGAUCCGAAAGGGACUGAGGAAUGACAUCAUUUGCAGGACGCGUUGAAAGAGGUGCAUGAUGGGAAAGUUUACCGUCGUCGGAGAGCUACUGAUGGUGGCAGUGGUGGCAGAG